CCAGGCUGUCAGCGUAGGCUACUUAAGAAAUUGAAAUAAAACUUUGCUUGGUGCAGGACAAGUACUGCCUCGAUAUUAGAGCAAGUGGAACUUUGAACCAUAACCUCUUCAUAUUCUGAAACAAUAAUGCUGCUUCUAGGCAACCACAAAGCAAACAACCUCCGAGGAGGGGAAUGGGGACAAAACCUGGAUUUGAAGUUACACAAGACAUUCAAUUCGGCUGAAUAAGGAAGCUGAAGGACAAAUCCUGAAGUUACGCUACAACAAGACAUUUGAUUCGGCUGAAUAAGGAAGUCUCCCUUCAGUUGUUUUUAUCGUUUCGCAGCGGUGCAGCAGCUACGAUAUGGUGAGCCGGGAAGACAACGAGACCAACAGGCUUCAUGAGGCACUACACCUGUUCAAGAUCAUCUGGAACUACAGGUGGCUGUUAGGCAGGCCCGUCUUCCUCUUCCUGAACAAACAGGACCUUCUAGCUGAGAAGGUUUUGGCUGGGAAAUCUAAAAUUGAGGACUAUUUCCCAGAGUUUGCGCACUAUACUACACCUCAAACAUCAGAACCAGGGGAGGAUCUUCGUGUCUCUAGGGCAAAACACUUCAUAGUGGAGGAGUUUCUGAAGAUCACCAGAGCCAGUGGAGGUGAAAGGAUCUGUUUGUUCCAUUUCACAUGUGCAGUUGACCUGGAAAGCCUCCGGCGCACAGUCUUCAGAGAGUGUGAAUAUUCGUUGUUGGCAUAAAGACUGUGAAGAAUGUAUACUAUAUCAAAGCAGAGACUUCUAUUUACAAGACUCGAGAGCACACAAAAUACGUAUUUUCAAUGUCUUUUCAACGUCUUUUCCUCAUGAGUGCAACAUUUGUCUUGCCAAUGUUUGUAUGAGCCCCUCUUAAAGGAUGUAUAGUCCUAGGCCUAUGUUUCUAUUUUUAUAAUUAGCUAAAUCCUUUUUCUUUUAGUUUCAAACCAUUUUGAAAUGUUGAUCCCGAUGGCACACAUUGGCCCAUUUUUUUUAUUUAUAGAAAGACCCAUAUACAGUAAGGGGCUUGGGGAACCACAGUAGCUUACCAAGCAAGAGGGUUCGAGGCACUCUUUGACUGGAGCCAGUGACGACAUUUUGAAACUUCCGGAUCUGGUGUUGUAUACCUUUUUGUUUACAAAUGCUAGCUAGCUACAUACAUACAUACAUACAUACAUACAUACAUACAUGUCUGGCUGGUCUGGUGUUCUAUGCUUUACGAUGCAAUUUUUUCGCGGCAGAAGCAAACAUGUCUCUCUAUGAAUUGCAAUUGUUAGAACUUGGAACAGCAAGACCUUGAAUUGCUCUUACUACUCAGGAGGAGAAGAAGGGGGGAAAAAAACGACAGAGAAAAUGGCCAGUUCGUCCACUGAAAACUACAAGACGGGACGAUGGAGAAGUCAUGUAACUUGUCCAACCAAUGCGAAGCAUUGUCGAGGAAAGACAUUUUCAAUACUUUUGGAUGUCGGUUGCCAGAUUGGACGACUUGUUUCAGCGGCUUGCCCCUCACCUCUCAUACGAGAGAACUCACAGCUUUCCCAUAAGUGCUGCAGAAAGGCUGUCUGUGAUCCUUCCUUUUUUUGGUGAGUGGCAGCACACAGCAAAGUAUCGCUGCGAAUUACAAGCUAGGAAUCUCGACAGUUUGUACCAUCUUGACAGAAAUGUGCCAGGCUAUCUGGCAUGUCCUGAAGGAGGAUUUUGGGGACUUCUUGCCAGAGAGUUUGGGGAUGGUUUGAUUCAUCAGUUUUCGUGCAGGAGCUGUCGACUGAAAAAGUAUUCCCCCUAUUCACGUCCGAGCUCCGGCAAGCUCGGGCAGCGAGUACUACAACUUCACAGGAUUUUUCUCAAUGGUCCUGAUGGUAGUCUGCUAUGAAAGGUACCGCUUCACCAUGAUCGACGUGUCGCAAUCGAUAUGGUCGCAAUCUUCUAACGAAGCAAGUUUGGCUCACCUCACCAAGGCCAGAGUGCUUGUCGGUGACAUGAAACAACGAUACAAAUGUAACAGCACAACAAAACAGAUAAACAAUUUUCUUUGGCCGGUGCCUUUUCAUUUUAAACACCAGUGGUGCAACUAGUGCUUUCUAUCUGCACUGAACCAAAACAGUGGCGUGAGGCACUGAACCAAAACAGUGGCGUGAGGCACUGAACCAAAACAGUGGCGUGAGGCACUGAACCAAAACAGUGGCGUGAGGCACUGAACCAACACAGUGGCGUGAGGCACUGAACCAACACAGUGGCGUGAGGCACUGAACCAAAACAGUGGCGUGAGGCACUGAACCAAAACAGUGGCGUGAGGCACUGAACCAACACAGUGGCGUGAGGCACUGAACCAACACAGUGGCGUGAGGGACUGAACCAAAACAGUGGCGUGAGGGACUGAACCAACACAGUGGCGUGAGGCACUGAACCAACACAGUGGCGUGAGGCACUGAACCAACACAGUGGCGUGAGGCACUGAACCAAAACAGUGGCGUGAGGCACUGAACCAACACAGUGGCGUGAGGGACUGAACCAACACAGUGGCGUGAGGGACUGAACCAACACAGUGGCGUGAGGCACUGAACCAACACAGUGGCGUGAGGGACUGAACCAACACAGUGGCGUGAGGCACUGAACCAACACAGUGGCGUGAGGGACUGAACCAACACAGUGGCGUGAGGGACUGAACCAACACAGUGGCGUGAGGGACUGAACCAACACAGUGGCGUGAGGGACUGAACCAACACAGUGGCGUGAGGGACUGAACCAGCACAGUGGCGUGAGGGACUGAACCAACACAGUGGCGUGAGGGACUGAACCAAAACAGUGGCGUGAGGCACUGAACCAACACAGUGGCGUGAGGGACUGAACCAGCACAGUGGCGUGAGGGACUGAACCAAAACAGUGGCGUGAGGGACUGAACCAACACAGUGGCGUGAGGGACUGAACCAAAACAGUGGCGUGAGGGACUGAACCAACACAGUGGCGUGAGGGACUGAACCAAAACAGUGGCGUGAGGGACUGAACCA
This is a long non-coding RNA of Salmo salar (Atlantic salmon), 3015 nucleotides long. RefSeq lists it as uncharacterized. The record is from RefSeq and is a predicted model, not a curated record. Lineage: Eukaryota; Metazoa; Chordata; Actinopteri; Salmoniformes; Salmonidae.